This 274-nucleotide ribosomal RNA is filed under the name uncultured bacterium. RNAcentral describes it as "partial 16S ribosomal RNA". It matches the Rfam family "Bacterial small subunit ribosomal RNA", at positions 523 to 796 of the family's 1533-position model. The record is from RNAcentral.
AUACGGAGGGUGCAAGCGUUAUUCGGAAUCACUGGGCGUAAAGGACGCGUAGGCGGGUUGGCAAGUCAGAUGUGAAAUCCUACAGCUUAACUGUAGAACUGCAUUUGAAACUGCUAACCCAGAGUAUGGGAGGGGGAGAUGGAAUUAGUGGUGUAGGGGUAAAAUCCGUAGAUAUCACUAGGAAUACCGAAAGCGAAGGCGAUCUCCUGGAACAUAACUGACGCUAAGGCGUGAAAGCGUGGGGAGCAAACAGGAUUAGAAACCCCAGUAGUCC